AGAGUUUGAUCAUGGCUCAGGAUGAACGCUAGCGGCGCGCCUAAUGCAUGCAAGUCGAGCGAUGAGGUCUUUCGGGGCCAUCAGCGGCAAACGGGUGAGUAACACAUGGGUAACCUGCCUUCAAGCCGGGGAUAACGGAUGGAAACGUUCGCUAAUACCCGAUGCGUACGCUUAAGAGGAGACUGUGAGCGUAGAAAGUUACGGCGCUUGGAGAGGGGCCCGUGGCCUAUCAGCUUGUUGGUGGGGUAGUGGCCUACCAAGGCUUUGACGGGUAGCCGGCCUGAGAGGGCGACCGGCCACAUUGGGACUGAGAUACGGCCCAGACUCCUACGGGAGGCAGCAGUGGGGAAUAUUGCACAAUGGGCGGAAGCCUGAUGCAGCAACGCCGCGUGCGGGAUGACGGCCUUCGGGUUGUAAACCGCUUUCACCCAUGACGAAGCUUUUGUGACGGUAGUGGGGGAAGAAGCACCGGCCAACUACGUGCCAGCAGCCGCGGUGAUACGUAGGGUGCGAGCGUUGUCCGGAAUUAUUGGGCGUAAAGAGCUUGUAGGCGGUUGAUCGCGUCGAUAGUGAAAUCCCGGGGCUUAACUUCGGGCUUGCUUUCGAUACGGGUUGACUUGAGGAAGGUAGGGGAGAAUGGAAUUCCCGGUGGAGCGGUGGAAUGCGCAGAUAUCGGGAGGAACACCAGUGGCGAAGGCGGUUCUCUGGACCUUUCCUGACGCUGAGAAGCGAAAGCGUGGGGAGCAAACAGGCUUAGAUACCCUGGUAGUCCACGCUGUAAACGGUGGGUACUAGGUGUGGGUCACAUUCCACGUGGUCCGUGCCGUAGCUAACGCAUUAAGUACCCCGCCUGGGGAGUACGGCCGCAAGGCUAAAACUCAAAUGAAUUGACGG
RNAcentral lists this ribosomal RNA (894 nucleotides) under uncultured bacterium. RNAcentral's name for it is "bacterial SSU rRNA". It matches the Rfam family "Bacterial small subunit ribosomal RNA", at positions 8 to 916 of the family's 1533-position model. The record is from RNAcentral.